GACUCAGUGGUUUAAUGGUAAAGCGCUCGUCACGAGCCAGAGGGUUCUGGGUUCAACCUCCAACGGGGUUG
This 71-nucleotide transfer RNA is filed under the name Schistosoma japonicum. RNAcentral's name for it is "tRNA-Arg". The record is from RNAcentral. Lineage: Eukaryota; Metazoa; Platyhelminthes; Trematoda; Strigeidida; Schistosomatidae.